AGAACGAACGCUGGCGGCAGGCUUAACACAUGCAAGUCGAACGCCCCGCAAGGGGAGUGGCAGACGGGUGAGUAACGCGUGGGAAUCUACCCAGCUCUACGGAACAACCCAGGGAAACUUGGGCUAAUACCGUAUACGUCCGAUAGGAGAAAGAUUUAUCGGAGUUGGAUGAGCCCGCGUUGGAUUAGCUAGUUGGUGGGGUAAUGGCCUACCAAGGCUACGAUCCAUAGCUGGUCUGAGAGGAUGAUCAGCCACACUGGGACUGAGACACAGCCCAGACUCCUACGGGAGGCAGCAGUGGGGAAUAUUGGACAAUGGGCGAAAGCCUGAUCCAGCCAUGCCGCGUGAGUGAUGAAGGCCUUAGGGUUGUAAAGCUCUUUCAGUAGGGAAGAUAAUGACGUACUACAGAAGAAGCCCGGAUAACUCGCGCCAGCAGCCGC
This 440-nucleotide ribosomal RNA is filed under the name uncultured soil bacterium. RNAcentral's name for it is "bacterial SSU rRNA". It matches the Rfam family "Bacterial small subunit ribosomal RNA", at positions 26 to 518 of the family's 1533-position model. The record is from RNAcentral.